AGGCAAGAUGUUGGCAUAGCUGAUGAACUGAGAACCUGCUAUGCCAACAUAUUGCCCUCU
Molecule: microRNA precursor, 60 nt
Filed under: Python bivittatus (Burmese python)
Lineage: Eukaryota; Metazoa; Chordata; Lepidosauria; Squamata; Pythonidae
Description: Pbv-Mir-31_pre stem-loop
Rfam family: mir-31 microRNA precursor family
Source: RNAcentral